CCUCUAUCUCUCUACCCGUACUCACCUGUCAACUCUCCCCUCACCCUCGAUCUCUCCGACACCACUCUGAGUCUCCUCCCUCAAUCUCUCCUCAUUUGAAUCUCCUUUCCUCUCUCGUCUCAGACCUCAAUCUCGAGCCCAUGCUCCUAUCUCCGUACACGGUACGUCGACUCUCUACACUUUCUCGUUCUCCCUCCCACCCGUAGUGACUGAGUCGACCUCGACUGUGUCGACAUCACAGCAGCCAGCCACCAUCACCAUCGUCCUCGUCGUCGAGAACACCACCAUCAUCCAGCAAAUCCCUAGCACGAAUUGCAGACUCAACGACAUCUCUGGUUCGAUCCGUGAGGAAGACGACGAGUUUGGUUUGAUUUGGUUUUAAAUUGCAAGUAGCUUCGUGAUUCUUCUGCUGACAAAUAGUCAAAGCCUUUGCAGUUCAAAGAUAAACAUUGCUGUCCUUUCUCAAGAGGGACCGGGACCUUACUCUUGCAUUUAUAUUAGGGGUGAAGAAACCGGUAUAUUACGAAUCAAAAGCUCGUCUGGGACCAGAGACAAGGUACUAGAAGAUGGAACAAAAACCAGUUCCCUUGUAGUCAACGAUUCUCAUUCAUUCGCUCUGAUGAUUGGAACAAAAUGUUGUACAAAUUUCGUGGCUCUGGUUUUAGAAUUUUAGACAACUCUUGCCAUCCACAUUACUCUUAAAUAUACAACUGUUGUACAAGUAGUCUUAGUUACUAAGGCAUAGGAAAGUUUUGAUUUCAUUUGAUUGAAAUCAGUGUCUCCAGUUAAUCGAAUAAGCAAACAUAGCUGCUUCAUUCUAAUUUCAGAAAAUCCAAAUCCAUGAAAACA
Pyrus x bretschneideri (Chinese white pear) is the source of this 849-nucleotide long non-coding RNA. RefSeq lists it as uncharacterized. The transcript is spliced from 3 exons. NCBI's taxonomy places the organism in Eukaryota, Viridiplantae, Streptophyta, Magnoliopsida, Rosales, Rosaceae. The record is from RefSeq and is a predicted model, not a curated record.